This 835-nucleotide long non-coding RNA is filed under the name Homo sapiens (human). RNAcentral describes it as "novel transcript". Lineage: Eukaryota; Metazoa; Chordata; Mammalia; Primates; Hominidae. The record is from RNAcentral.
CAAGAACUUUCCUACAAAGUGUCUGUGACGGAUUGAAUUAUUUUUCUCAACUUGUUACUCCCUUCUUUCCAUACGAGGAUUACAUAUCCCUUUCCCAUUGGCAUUGGUGACUUAUUUUGGCCGAUGAAAUGGGAGUGUAUGUGAUACACUCCUCAUACAUAGACGGAGUUUCGCUCUUGUUGCCCAAGCUGGACUGCAGUGGCGCGAGCCUGGCUCACUGCAAACUCUGCCUUCCGGUUUCAAGCGAUUCUCCUGCCUCAGCCUCCGGAGUAGCUGGGACUACAGGCACACACCACGCCCAGAGAAAAACAGAUCUUCAACAGUUUUUUGAUGGAAAUAAACAAUUUCAAGUUGAGACAACACAUCAGCUUCAUGCAUUCCUUCAGCUUGAAGUCAACUGGGCCUGGGUUGAAUCUGGUUCUGUUUUGUUGUUGUUUCAUUUUGUUUUUUAGCAUUUGACUAUGUACAGUCUCUAUUUCUAAGUCUUGAUUUCCUCAUUUAUAAAACAAAGCAACUAAAUGAUAUCAAAUACCCUUGUUUUGAAAAUCAAAGAAUAAGCACGGCACCCAAGACAACUUUUUGUAUCACAGGCACACAUGAAUGCUUUUUUCCUUUUCCUUUUCUUAUCAUAAAAACCUAUAUUUUAUGACUUUUACAUUUAUUCCUAGAUGCUCUCAUAUGCAUUAUCUCAUUUUUACAAUAACAUUAUAAAUAUAAACACUGUUAUGCUAUUUUACAGAUGAGAGACUUGAAGCACAGAAGGCUAAAACUACCUUUAACUUCUAAAGAAAUUUUGUGAGAAGCAUCUGAGACUCUUGACAGUUAAAAUCCCUAU